This is a long non-coding RNA of Lolium rigidum, 1856 nucleotides long. RefSeq lists it as uncharacterized. The transcript is spliced from 2 exons. NCBI's taxonomy places the organism in Eukaryota, Viridiplantae, Streptophyta, Magnoliopsida, Poales, Poaceae. The record is from RefSeq and is a predicted model, not a curated record.
CCAGAGAAACCCAUGCGUGACGGUAAACUACGCCGCCCGAUCUCCCUCCCCAUCUUCUUCCCUACCGGCGCCCCGCAGCGUCUCCCGAACUCCUCCCCCGCCUUCUUCCUCGUCGGGCCUCCUCUGCCGCUUCUUCCCCCCACCUACCUCUAGGCCAGCACCUUACCUUCAACUCGAUCCCCAUCACCACCAUUCGUCUCUAACCGUGCUCCACUGGCUCUGACGCCGGCCGAUUUGCCCUGUGGUGGUGGCUGCUGCUGGCAGAAAGCGGUCGCAUGCAACUACUAGGACCUGACCGCAUCCACCUUUCUUUUGCUAUUUUUCUUUGUUCUCCAUUCGUGAACUUUUCUUCCACAAAACCAGCUCACGUUUCUCUCUCUUGGCUAAGUCAGCCCAUUUCUCUCUCUGUUGGAUAAGUCCCCUCUCUUGCUUUUUUUGAUUGUUGUACUAAGAAAAAAACAUUCGUUCCUGGGUGAUUAAUUCAGGCCAGAUCUGGGCAGUAGCGGGCCUGCGGGUGUUGCGCACACGAGGUUCUCCCACUUGAUUUCUGUAGUGAUCUAGAUCUACACUUUCUUUAGUCUGGUUCUUGAUUUCUUGCAUUUCUCUCUCCUGUCCUUGGAUUUUUUAUCUCUUCAUCUCAUGAAUUCCAGUACCAGAGCGCCCAUGCUGGAUGGAUGGAUGAUUUUUUUUUUGAACGGCGGCGCGACGGCCACUCCCGUACCCAUUCCUCCCGCACGCCCGUUUCAUCCCUGCUCCUCCUCGCAUGGUUUUCUUUUGAUCUCAAUUUUCUUCAACACUUUUCUUCGAUCUGGAUAUCAUGUUGUUGCCGAUUCAGAUACCAUGUUGUUUUCUUGUACAUGGUUACCGAUCCAAGAUCCAGAUCCCAUGUUUUUUUAAACGAUUCAGAUCCGAUGUUCACUGAAAGAAGUUUUUUACAUGGAUUUGCUUCACCACACGGAGUUGAUUCCUUUGUACAUAGUCUGUACCCGAUCCAGAUCCUGUUAAUUUUUUUGCACAUCGCCGAUCGGGUCGGUUCUUUUGCUUCACCUUCAAUUAGGAUCAUGUUGAUUUUUGUUUGCCUCCUCCCUGCGGCAAACCGCACGGCGCCGCGUCCUGCGCAACACCACGCCGCCGGUCGGGUCGCCCGUGACCCUAAUUCCCCGCCGACGGUUGGGGCUCGCAUGUCGGGGGUGAAGAAGCCGGUAGAGGUUGGGGCUCGCAUGUCGUUCUUUUUUUGAAUCUAUUUUGUUUUCAUUUUUUUUUGUUUCCGAUCUGAAUAAUUCACGUUUGAGGGAAUCAGGUCCAUGCCGAUUUUUAAUCUGUGGCUAUUGUGGCGACCCCCGCCAGAUCUGCACGGUGAAGGAUGCCGCUGGCGGGAUCUCGGCAAGGAGACGGAGGGAGCUUGGCCAGUGUCUCCGGCGAGGUUGUUUUUUUUCUAAUGCAAGGACGGCAGAGGGAGCAGUCGUAUGCAAGUUCUAGACCAAGCUGCACCCACCAUUUUUUACUGCCUUUUUCUUAAUCUCUUUUCGUUCAUUUUCUCACCAGAAGCUAGCCCAUUAUCUCUCUGUAAUUGAUAAGUCCUCUAGCUCUUUUGCUUUCGUUUCUGUGGUUGUACUAAGAAAAACGAGCUCCACCAUGUAGAGAUAAUGUUUGGUCAUCUUGUGAUUAGCGUGAAAGUCUAUGGUGCGGGUCUCAGGCCGGGUCAUAGGCGAGAAGAGGAAGCGGCCGUCUUGGGCAUCCAGGGAGAUCCAACAUGCAGCGCAUGAAGAAACCUAGAUUCCGUCGAAUUUUUUGUUCAUGGUGUUUCCCGGAUCCAGUUCCCAUGGUCAUUGAAAUAAAUGGUAGAAAUUGGUUAA